Molecule: long non-coding RNA, 1016 nt
Filed under: Parus major (Great Tit)
Lineage: Eukaryota; Metazoa; Chordata; Aves; Passeriformes; Paridae
Description: lncRNA (ENSPMJG00000006915.1)
Source: RNAcentral
AUGGUGGCGGCAGCGCCUCUGAGCCCGCCGCCUCCCGGCCUCGCUGCGGGGCACGGAGCGGCGGGGCCGCUGCCUCGCUGGGGCUCCCGGCCCGGCUACAUCCCGCGGGGGGCGGCGGCGAGGGGAGCCGAGGGGGCUUUGUUGGCCGGGGUUUGGCCGCAGAGCUGCGCUGCGGGGCCGCGCUGUGUGUCCGUGUCCGUGUCCGUGUUCGUGUUCGUGUCCGUGUCCCUGUCCGUGUCCCCGUCCCCGGCUCCACGCGCCCUCCCCGCCCUCCGCCGCCGGGCGCGGAGCGGCCGCGGGGGCGCGGAGGGGCGGGGGGGCGGCGCGCCCCGCCCCGCGCUGCGGGAGCGGGAUGGGAAUGGGGAUGAGGAUGGGAAUGGGGAUGGGAAUGAGGCUCCGGCACGGCCCCGCCGCUCCCAAUGGCGGGAGGACCCGGGAAGGAGAGGGAUUCCAGAGCGCCCUCCCCAAUCCCGAGCCGCCCCGCAGGGAUCAGCGGGAACACGCGGAGGGAAAUACCGGGAAUCGGAGUCCUGCUUGAAGGAUGAAGUGACAUUUCUACAGGCAGAGAAACACAGCCCAAGUCUGGAAAGACUCCUGGGGACGACAGGAUUGAAAUCUGAACAGCGAUGGGAACACAAAACAAUCGAGCCCAGCUGAAUGUGGACAGACCUCAGGCAUUGUUCACAUCUCCCACCAUCAGCAACUGCAGGACAAGUUCAGAGCCAGCCCAACCCUGACCUGAGCUGGCUUUUUGAUUUAGCAACGUGUGCCACUUGCAGGGCUUCCUCUGUCGGAUCCCACAGUGCAGCCAUGGAAAUGAUCAUUCCCUGGGUGAUAUUUGAUGUUGCUGCCGCGGUCAGAGCAGGUUCCUGCUCAAAGGAACCUGUUACCCCUCCUGCCACACCAGCGCUGGAGGUUGGGAUGGAACCGAUGCUCCACGUUCUGACUGUAAAAGCUGGGAGCUGUGUGGGCUGCACAGCUGAGUGUGUGUCUGCAGAAAGCUUUUCCUUCCUCAG